RNAcentral lists this small nucleolar RNA (83 nucleotides) under Erinaceus europaeus (western European hedgehog). RNAcentral describes it as "Small nucleolar RNA SNORD116 (ENSEEUG00000022847.1)". The record is from RNAcentral. Lineage: Eukaryota; Metazoa; Chordata; Mammalia; Eulipotyphla; Erinaceidae.
UUAACUGUCAAAUUUUCACCAAUGGAGAAGAUGAACAAAAUGAGUGAGAACUCCCUCUGUCUAUCUCACUGGUUCUGAGGUAA